This 477-nucleotide ribosomal RNA is filed under the name uncultured bacterium. RNAcentral's name for it is "bacterial SSU rRNA". It matches the Rfam family "Bacterial small subunit ribosomal RNA", at positions 30 to 504 of the family's 1533-position model. The record is from RNAcentral.
UGAACGCUAGCGGCAGGCUUAACACAUGCAAGUCGAGGGGUAACAUGAGUGCUUGCACUUGAUGACGACCGGCGCACGGGUGCGUAACGCGUAUACAAUCUGCCUUACACUGGGGGAUAGCCUUUGGAAACGAAGAUUAACACCCCAUAGUAUCAUUGAGUGGCAUCACUUAAUGAUUAAAGGUUACGGUGUAAGAUGAGUAUGCGUCCUAUUAGUUUGUUGGUGUGGUAACGGCACACCAAGACUACGAUAGGUAGGGGCCCUGAGAGGGGGACCCCCCACACUGGUACUGAGACACGGACCAGACUCCUACGGGAGGCAGCAGUGAGGAAUAUUGGACAAUGGGCGAAAGCCUGAUCCAGCCAUGCCGCGUGCAGGAAGACGGCCCUAUGGGUUGUAAACUGCUUUUAUACAGGAAGAAACACUCCCUCGUGAGGGAGCUUGACGGUACUGUAAGAAUAAGGAUCGGCUAACUCC